Molecule: ribosomal RNA, 533 nt
Filed under: uncultured bacterium
Lineage: Bacteria
Description: bacterial SSU rRNA
Rfam family: Bacterial small subunit ribosomal RNA
Source: RNAcentral
GAGUUUGAUCCUGGCUCAGGAUGAACGCUGGCGGCGUGCCUAAUACAUGCAAGUCGAACGCGCAGCGAGAGGUGCUUGCACCUUUCAAGCGAGUGGCGAACGGGUGAGUAACACGUGGAUAACCUGCCUCAAGGCUGGGGAUAACAUUUGGAAACAGAUGCUAAUACCGAAUAAAACUUAGUAUCGCAUGAUAUAAAGUUAAAAGGCGCUACGGCGUCACCUAGAGAUGGAUCCGCGGUGCAUUAGUUAGUUGGUGGGGUAAAGGCUUACCAAGACAAUGAUGCAUAGCCGAGUUGAGAGACUGAUCGGCCACAUUGGGACUGAGACACGGCCCAAACUCCUACGGGAGGCUGCAGUAGGGAAUCUUCCACAAUGGGCGCAAGCCUGAUGGAGCAACGCCGCGUGUGUGAUGAAGGCUUUCGGGUCGUAAAGCACUGUUGUAUGGGAAGAAAUGCUAAAAUAGGGAAUGAUUUUAGUUUGACGGUACCAUACCAGAAAGGGACGGCUAAAUACGUGCCAGCAGCCGCGGUAAU